GUCUUCCUGGUGUAGUUGGUUAUCACAUCUGUCUAACACACAAGGUCACCAGUUCGAAUCUGGUGGAAGACA
Molecule: transfer RNA, 72 nt
Filed under: Entomophthora muscae
Lineage: Eukaryota; Fungi; Entomophthoromycota; Entomophthoromycetes; Entomophthorales; Entomophthoraceae
Description: tRNA-Leu
Rfam family: tRNA
About the family: Transfer RNA (tRNA) molecules are approximately 80 nucleotides in length. Their secondary structure includes four short double-helical elements and three loops (D, anti-codon, and T loops).
Source: RNAcentral